RNAcentral lists this transfer RNA (85 nucleotides) under Felis catus (domestic cat). It matches the Rfam family "tRNA". From Rfam's summary of the family: Transfer RNA (tRNA) molecules are approximately 80 nucleotides in length. Their secondary structure includes four short double-helical elements and three loops (D, anti-codon, and T loops). RNAcentral also lists the same sequence under 1 other name. Lineage: Eukaryota; Metazoa; Chordata; Mammalia; Carnivora; Felidae. The record is from Rfam by way of RNAcentral.
GCCUGGGUGGCUCAGUCGGUUGAGCCUCUGACUUCAGCUCAGGUCAUGAUCUUGCAGUUUGUGGGUUCGAGCCCUGCAUCGGGCU